This is a small nucleolar RNA of Artibeus jamaicensis (Jamaican fruit-eating bat), 129 nucleotides long. RefSeq annotates it as small nucleolar RNA SNORA30/SNORA37 family. The transcript has a single exon. NCBI's taxonomy places the organism in Eukaryota, Metazoa, Chordata, Mammalia, Chiroptera, Phyllostomidae. The record is from RefSeq and is a predicted model, not a curated record.
CUAGUACCUUGGCAGGUCCUCCCCCAGGCAGCGGGGCCAGGAUUUGGUAGCUGGUGCUGAAAGAAAACCCUUGAUUGCAUCCUUGACCUGCGACUGUGCUCGUGGCAGCUGUCACUCAGUGGCAGAGAG